Molecule: ribosomal RNA, 468 nt
Filed under: uncultured bacterium
Lineage: Bacteria
Description: partial 16S ribosomal RNA
Rfam family: Bacterial small subunit ribosomal RNA
Source: RNAcentral
GACGAACGCUGGCGGCGUGCUUAACACAUGCAAGUCUAACGGAAAGGCCCUGCUUUUGUGGGGUGCUCGAGUGGCGAACGGGUGAGUAACACGUGAGUAACCUGCCCUUGACUUUGGGAUAACUUCAGGAAACUGGGGCUAAUACCGGAUAGUAGCUCCUGCUGCAUGGUGGGGGUUGGAAAGUUUCGGCGGUUGGGGAUGGACUCGCGGCUUAUCAGCUUGUUGGUGGGGUAGUGGCUUACCAAGGCUUUGACGGGUAGCCGGCCUGAGAGGGUGACCGGCCACAUUGGGACUGAGAUACGGCCCAGACUCCUAAGGGAGGCAGCAGUGGGGAAUAUUGCACAAUGGGCGGAAGCCUGAUGCAGCAACGCCGCGUGCGGGAUGACGGCCUUCGGGUUGUAAACCGCUUUCGCCUGUGACGAAGCGUGAGUGACGGUAAUGGGUGAAGAAGCACCGGCUAACUACGUG